RNAcentral lists this ribosomal RNA (291 nucleotides) under uncultured alpha proteobacterium 144ev. RNAcentral's name for it is "partial 16S ribosomal RNA". It matches the Rfam family "Bacterial small subunit ribosomal RNA", at positions 9 to 328 of the family's 1533-position model. The record is from RNAcentral. Lineage: Bacteria; Pseudomonadati; Pseudomonadota; Alphaproteobacteria.
GAGUUUGAUCCUGGCUCAGAACGAACGCUGGCGGCAUGCCUAACACAUGCAAGUCGAACGAGACCUUCGGGUCUAGUGGCGCACGGGUGCGUAACGCGUGGGAAUCUGCCUUUGGGUUCGGAAUAACAGUGAGAAAUUACUGCUAAUACCGGAUGAUGUCUUCGGACCAAAGAUUUAUCGCCCAAAGAUGAGCCCGCGUAAGAUUAGCUUGUUGGUGAGGUAAAGGCUCACCAAGGCGACGAUCUUUAGCUGGUCUGAGAGGAUGAUCAGCCACACUGGGACUGAGACACG